GCCUGGGUAGCUCAGUCGGUUGGGCAUCUGACUUCGGCUCAGGUCAUGAUCUCACAGUUCGUGGGUUCGAGCCCCGCGUUGGGCU
Molecule: transfer RNA, 85 nt
Filed under: Felis catus (domestic cat)
Lineage: Eukaryota; Metazoa; Chordata; Mammalia; Carnivora; Felidae
Also listed under: 2 other names
Rfam family: tRNA
About the family: Transfer RNA (tRNA) molecules are approximately 80 nucleotides in length. Their secondary structure includes four short double-helical elements and three loops (D, anti-codon, and T loops). Further hydrogen bonds mediate the characteristic L-shaped molecular structure. tRNAs have two regions of fundamental functional importance: the anti-codon, which is responsible for specific mRNA codon recognition, and the 3' end, to which the tRNAs corresponding amino acid is attached (by aminoacyl-tRNA synthetases). tRNAs cope with the degeneracy of the genetic code in two manners: having more than one tRNA (with a specific anti-codon) for a particular amino acid; and 'wobble' base-pairing, i.e. permitting non-standard base-pairing at the 3rd anti-codon position.
Source: Rfam by way of RNAcentral